Molecule: ribosomal RNA, 254 nt
Filed under: uncultured bacterium
Lineage: Bacteria
Description: partial 16S ribosomal RNA
Rfam family: Bacterial small subunit ribosomal RNA
Source: RNAcentral
AAGCGAGAUCGAGAGAUGGAGCAAAUCCCAAAAAUAACGUCCCAGUUCGGACUGUAGUCUGCAACCCGACUACACGAAGCUGGAAUCGCUAGUAAUCGCGGAUCAGAAUGCCGCGGUGAAUACGUUCCCGGGUCUUGUACACACCGCCCGUCACACCAUGGGAGUCAGUAACGCCCGAAGUCAGUGACCUAACCGCAAGGGGGACGCUGCCGAAGGUAGGAUUGGCGACUGGGGUGAAGUCGUAACAAGGUAAC